AGACGAACCGUCCAAACGUUAUUCGGAAUUACUGGGCUUAAAGGGUGCGUAGGCGGCGCGGAAAGUUGGGUGUGAAAUACCUCGGCUCAACCGAGGAACUGCGCCCAAAACUUCCGUGCUCGAGGGAGAUAGAGGUGAGCGGAACUUAGGGUGGAGCGGUGAAAUGCGUUGAUAUUAUCAGGAACACCGGUGGCGAAAGCGGCUUACUGGGUCUCUUCUGACGCUGAGGCACGAAAGCUAGGGUAGCGAACAGGAUUAGAAACCCCAGUAGUCC
This 274-nucleotide ribosomal RNA is filed under the name uncultured bacterium. RNAcentral describes it as "partial 16S ribosomal RNA". It matches the Rfam family "Bacterial small subunit ribosomal RNA", at positions 523 to 796 of the family's 1533-position model. The record is from RNAcentral.